Long non-coding RNA from Struthio camelus australis, 3227 nucleotides. Lineage: Eukaryota; Metazoa; Chordata; Aves; Struthioniformes; Struthionidae. The record is from Ensembl.
AUGAAUUCAGCCGGGGUACCAGCCUUUGUCUCAGCAAAUCUUCCUUCCUCCCCCCUGGUUCACAUCAUUCCGGAGCAAACCCUGUACCUGAACUGGCUGCUGCUCCCACUCCAGCAUAAACCAAAUGACCUCCCCCUCCUGGAAGACCGUGUAGCAACUUGCCGAGCUUCCGUCUUUAGUCACUUACUGCUGAGGAAUGAGGAAAUAAAGAACAGUGCCCUUGACUCGAGCUCACCGGAGAAAUUACGAGUAAGCAAAGUUUAGGAGGCUCGCUAAUGACUGUGAUUUCAAAGAUACCUCAUAUUCCUAGGGAACAGUAGCGAGAGUCUUUGUUCCCGAAGUGCUCGUGACGUGCAUGACUCUCAUCCUGAUGUGCAAGACCCUCAUCUGGACAUGCAUGACUCUUACCAUUUGAAGACUUGUGUUGUAUGGACCUCAAAGAAGAAUGGGGAGUAAUUUUCCACUCCACGUCACUUAAAUGUCUGCAGGCUGCUGGAAAGGAAAGAAUAAGCCAUUGUUCUCAUUCUUCCAUUCCAAAGGUCUCCAAAUUAGGGCUAGGUAGCAAAAGUAGAUUGUGGGGCUAUAAUUGGGAGGAGGGUGUGCCACCCCCAGACUAUAACAGAGAAUGUAUUCCUACCUAAUGCUCAGCCUUGGAAAACAAACUGCAGCAAACAGUUUGCAAAUAUGUUAGGUACUGAAUGUUGCAAGGUUAGUGUUGAAGUGUCAGCCUCAGUGCACUGGCCACCUUCCAGGCUGGAUAAAUGGCAUGCUGCUUACUCAAACACCCCUACAGUUACACUUGCCCAGAGUAUUCUUCUCUUCCUGCCCUGAAAUGCAGUACAGAGCUGCUGUGAGUCCAUUAAUAAUAGAGCACUUCAAGAGCAGGCAGUCCUCCAUUCUGUCAUACUGUUUGUAAAUUGUCUCAGGGCAAUGUAGGUGUAUAGAAAGUGAACAGCCAGGCGCAGUUAGAACCUGGCAUGAGUGAACUAUUUUAGUGCCAAUAGCUUUGAAUAGGGUUAUUUUGGUUCCUUAUACUCUUCAGAAGGUCACUAAUUUUACUUGUUAUGGUGUGAAUUCUUAUUGUAAUCCUGUUUCGAGGGGAAACACUAGUAACCUGGUUCACAUGUCUGUGGAAUUUUGUGAUGUAACUUUAGGAGUUUGAAUUUCUGCUGUCAUGUAUUCUGAGAAUUAGAGAACAAGGGUGGAGGUCACUUUGGAGACUGACACCUACGUUUUGAUAUUUAAAAAUACACAGGUAUCUAAAUUCCCAUCAAAGGAAAAACAGUCAACAUAAUACCUCAUGGUCUGGACAACCAGCUAGUAGGUGUCCGCCUUAGGGUGAGCUGAACUGCUUUUUGAACUCCACUGAUUAUGCUGGGUUUCGCUAUUAAUAUCACAGACUGUAUUGGCUCCUUAGUUAAUGGUGACGUUCCCUGGAGUUAAUAGGAGUUCUGACAAUCAGUGCAUGUUAGGUGCAGGUGCAGACACUUACAGCUAAACAUCUUAAUCCCAAGAUGGAUCCAACUAAGCAAGAGUAAGACACUCUCUCCUCUUGUUUUUUGUUUGCUCCACAUUAAAUAUGUAUUCCAUUUUUAGGUGAAAAUCAGGCUAUAGUUUGCAUCCAGAACAGCACAGCUGCUCUUAGUGCUGGGCAAUAAUACCCACAGACCUGAUCCAUGGAGCUCUAUCUGAAAGCAACUCCAGGUUGUUUAUUGCUUCUGUAUUCUUCACUGCUAUGUCUUAGCUCAGACCUCCUGUGCACACGCAGUGUACUCCUGGAUUGCUAGAUAAUGUAUUAAAACGACCCUGUGAACUCCUCUGAUUCCAUUGCAGUAGGUCAUCUGCAAAGCUAUAAAGCAAUUGAUGUACAUGGGGCUGCGGGGUGAAGCAGCCAGUCACACACCCGAGUGUCUCUCCUUUGCUCAUAAAGCAUUCAGAUGGGUUCUGCCACCUCUGCCAGAAACUAUGCACUGCUUCUGUUUCAUAUGCAUGAGGAAAAAGCAAAAAAUCAGAGUAGAAAUUGCAGCAAGUGCAGAAAUGAUGAUCAUGAUCAUAACAAAUCAAGAAUACCGUACAUGCAAAAUAAGAGCAGGAACAGCAUAGGCAGGAAAUGGCAGGAAGAGAAAUGUUAACAAGAGGAUAUAACAGCACAAGGGAGCUGUGCUUUUCCAAGACAUGAUGCAAGGAGUUCCCCUAUCUGCUCAGGCCAUCCUUGCUGGGUGAGCUCAGGAUGCCAGUGAGUAUGCAGUGACUUUUACAACCCUAGAGGUCAGCAAGGACAUGCCCAGUAUUGAUACAUACUGUGCUUCCUAUGACUUUCCCAUUCAGCCUCUGCUAGUGGAAAUUACGCCGCUGCCCACCGUAACUGCCCUGUGUUUUGGACGGGGACAAAUCCCACAUUCUUCUAGCCAUAGGGAGGACCUUUCAAUUUUCCUUUUCACCUGUGAUUUCUACUAGCAAGGAUAGCUCCCUUCUUACUGAUUGAAAAUUUAACAUGUAAUUCCUCAUAUCAUUUCCUUUCCUCCUGCAGGGAACUGCUGUGCCUCUAACCUGUCCACAGUAGCUUACUGUCUGCAGCUCUGCUCCCGCUAAAAUGAGCCUGGGAAGAGCCAGGGGAGACAAAGAUGCUUGCAAAUCAUGGAGAAUGGGCAACUAUCGCUAAUGUCCUGGCUAGGGCUUUUAAGCGUGCAGGGUGCCCAAGGGUGUUGUUACAGAAAGGCAGCUUCUGCACUCAUUCCCUGAUGCAAAGCUCUCUGUAACACCUUACCAUCUUAAAUUUCUGUGACACUUUGAGUGUCUUUGGCUAUAAAAAAUAUUCUCCAGUUUCAUUAUCUCUUUUCAGCAAUGUAAAGACUACAAUCUGUUUGGAUCUUUUUGAUUAAUUUCCUCUCCAGGUGAGAAAACAUGUAUUUCUGUAUUUGUAUAGAUAUUUAAUUUAUAGAUAUAAAACGAGACCAGAGGUAAAUGAUCCUACUAUAUUGAUAUGGUUACACUGCACUCUUUCUGUUAAAAAUCAGCUGAAUAUGAGCUUAUAGAUGUAUUAACCCAAGUAGAGAUAAAACAGUUGCUCUUGAGAAAAAAUCCAAGGUUGUAGAACCAAUUUAUUAUAAUGACUACCCUGUGCUGACCUUGUGGAAGGAAGCCUCCUCCUAGUGGAGAUUGUGUUGAUAUUAUUUUGUGUUCAUCAGGCUGUGGGCAGAAAUAAAAGUUAAUAUUGCUGAAAGUCA